Molecule: long non-coding RNA, 2132 nt
Organism: Scatophagus argus
Lineage: Eukaryota; Metazoa; Chordata; Actinopteri; Scatophagidae
Exons: 3
Source: RefSeq, a predicted model, not a curated record
ACGCAACUUUGUAGAAGCACCUGAGCGUAGUUGGAAACACCUGGAGGCACCCAGGCUGUCAAGACCCAAACUGUAUGAAUACGGUGAGCCAAAACUAUCAUUUUAAAGUUGUUGUACGUUUCGAAACCGAAAAGAAGAACAACACAUUUCACUUUAUCCUCGAAUUACGCCUGGGAAUGAUUCAUGCCGGUGUUUUUCCGGACAAGGCCACCGUGACCAGCUCGUUGGCAAUGGAGGGACAGACCACCAUCUUUAAGAUGUCAGCAACCAACACGACUUGCACCAUCACUGGUGUAAUGGCCUUGAUCAGGAGCAUCUACCAAGGUGCUUCCUCUUUGUUCAUGUGGAGUUGAUGCGUGAGGUGAAACCAAAGCAGGCCUCGUCGCACCACAAGGAAGAGGCUUGUGGAGUGCACGACACCCCAUUGCUCUUUUCCCCCGUGUGCCCGGCCGAUGUCAUGGGGCGCGUUGGAUGAUGGAGCACUCUCAUUCCGAGUUGAGAGAGCGCUGAAGGUGUGCUGCAGACAGAAAAACCAUGGGGGGCAAUUAGAGAGGACAUCCAACACCUGGGUCCACAAGUGAGACGGGAGCUCGAGAACAUCCCAAAUGACAUUUCCUGCAAGAGCGCUCAAUUUCACAAAAAGUAUAUUUCAUAAGCUCUAUCGGAGGUAGUUAUCGAGAUAAGCCUUCAGCAGUCACGUUUCCACCAUUCAGUCACACGUUACUCAUGUUUACAACUCUCUGAAACUCUAAGAAUUAAGUAGAAAGUAGAACAGGCUCUUGAAAUCCAAAAAGAAUCAAUUUACGAGCAAGAGAUGCUUCAGUAUUAUUCUGGAGAUAUAAAUAAUCAGACUAAAGGCAAUGAACAUUCAGGAAGAGGGAGUUAAGAGGCGAAUGAUGUUUUACAUGGAAUCAUUAUCUGGAUAUUUAAAAGAAAGUUACCAACAUCCUCUGGUGUUUUGUUUGUUUUUCUUUGGUAAAUACAUACCUUUAUGUCCCAGAUCAAGAAAUGUAAUUUUUUUUUAAUUCAAGUACCUUGUCAUAGGUUGUAAGGUCCAGUUUAUAAAGAGCAGGUGUCAUUCCCCCACAUUCCCCCGGGCACUGUGCAAGCACUGAAGAUGGACCUGUUUAACGCCAGAGUCAACACAACCCCUAUUCUUUCCCACUGUGUCCAUAAAUGUGAUUGACUUAAAAUAAUCUCUAUUAACUGUGUAAAAUAAUAAGGGGAUGUGUGCAAUGAGUUCAUUAUUGAAGUAAAAAUGUGGAGUGAUGAGUUCAGUAGUGGUAAUAAUUUUUCCGCUUGCAGAAGGUUAUUCGUGCCUACAUUUCCCUUUUUAUGUUCUUGUCCAUUGCAUGAAGUUGUCAAUUGUGCCUGAUCUGUCUUUAUUUACUAAGGUUUUAGAAAGCUGUUUUGACAGUUUGGAGAACUUCAUAAAAGCUAUAGAAACCUAAAUGAAAUAUAAAUCUGUUUUAUCUAGCCCUUUUAAAGAAUGACACUGUGAUGUCCAAGGGCCCAAUAUUGUGAUAUUUUGUAGAGAAAGACAGUCUACGCUGUUCAGGUCACCUUCUCUCUGAAAAUGGCCAAAGCUCAACACAUUAUCCCUUAAGCUGUGUAAAAAAUUGAAGAAAAUUUACUUGAACCCUUUAUGCUAUGUUUACACUUAGUUUUACUCUUGGCCAUAGUUUCACACUAUAUAUGAGUUAAACUCAAGCUUAAUCUGUCAAAGUUUUCUUCUGAUUAAUUAAUAAUCGUAAUCAUUAGUUGCAGCUCUUGUGCUAAUGUUACUGCUGCAUCAUUGGGAAAUGGAAAAUGCUUCAACACAUUUCUUCUGAGUUGUCAUAAAUAUCUGCUGAACACAGCUCCAUGUUGCAUUAUCGAAAAUUACACCAAUUUUCCUGUUGACUUCAGAGUUCAAAAUGCCUUUCUUGAUUUCACUCUUGUUUGCAAGCGUUUUGUGCUUUAAACUUUGAAUGUGGACGGGUCAGAUUAAACAUUACAUGCUUGAGUAGUAAUUCAAAUUUCAAAUAAAAAGUGACAGCCUUUGUAAAUAGUGCUUCAUUUGCGACUAGCUUGGCUGACUUGAGACAAUCUAUAUAUACAGACCUUGAAAAGAAAUGCACUGGGUUGGUAAA